This is a long non-coding RNA of Homo sapiens (human), 2805 nucleotides long. Ensembl annotates it as long intergenic non-protein coding RNA 2984. NCBI's taxonomy places the organism in Eukaryota, Metazoa, Chordata, Mammalia, Primates, Hominidae. The record is from Ensembl.
ACUCUAUUGGAGUGCAUGUUACAGAACCUUAAGAAAGGUUUUGGAGGGGAUUAUAGAGUUAAGUUAACCCCCCAGAGGUUGAGAACUCUCUGUGAAUUAAAAUUGCCUUCUUUUGGUGUUAGAUGGCUGACUGAAGGAACUUUAAACAAGGAACAAUUGGCCAUGUAUUUAAGGUGGUGACAAGGGUUGGAGGACAGCCAGUGUACCCAGAUCAAAUUCCUUUAUAUUGACUCAUGGCUAAAUAUAAUAUAGACAAAACCAGCAUAGAUCCAGCCCUGUUUAAUGGCUUAUUGCAAAAAAGCCAAAAGUGAAAGUAAGAGCAGCUUUGCCAGCAGACACAGAGUUAAAAGGGGAGUCCCAGAGACAGCAAGAGAAGCCAGUUGUACAGGAACUGCCAAAGGCAACAGAAAUUCUUUCUCCCUAUGUCCCAGCCUACCCCCACUUUACCGAGGCCAACAGCCGCCUCAGAAACCAGAUUCAGGAGCUAACAUGCCCCAGGUCUCACGAGGAUCAGAGACUCCAGAGGCCAGGGAAGGAGAUCAAGGUAGUCAAGCGGGGGUCGUCUCAGAUCUGGUUGUGCUCGAGCUAUGCAAAUGCCUCUCACGGAGAUGCGAGGACCUAUCUAUUAUGAUGACCAGGGCCACAUCCGGAGGGGGCAACAGACUUUCAUCUAUCAGCCCUUUUCAACCACUGAUCUACUAAACUGGAAACACUCUGAACCCUGCCAUCUUGCUCCUGGUAUCAGAGAGCCCUGUCGUGCAUAACUGUGUAGAAGUGUUGGACUCGGUUUACUCCAGCAGACCUGAUCUCCGGGACCAGCCUUGGGCAUCAGUAGACUGGAAGCUAUAUGUGGACAGGAGCAGCUUCAUCAACCCACAAGGAGAGAGAUGUGCGGGAUAUGUGGUGGAACCCUGGACACUGUCGUUGAAGCCAGAUCGUUGCUCCAAGGCACUUCAGCCCAGAAAGAUGAGCUCAUUGCUUUAAUUUGGGCCUUAGAACUCAGUUAAGGCCUUCUACGGUCCCAGGCUUUCUGCUGCAUACACUGAAGGGCCACGAAGUACAGUCAUCUGGACUUGGCACCUGGAAUACAAGGAUGGAAAGCAUCAUUUCUGCCAGCUUCUUAUGGUCCUGAGGCGAGACAGUCAUGAGAGAGGAAAACUGCAAUGACUUCUGACCACUGCCAGCCUCGCUUCCUGCAUUUUCUUCUUCGGCUUACUCUUGCCAAGUUGGAGUUGCCUAACUUCCAAGAGGGUAUUUGCUCUUUUUUUUUUCUCACUCCACAAACUCUUCCCAGGUAGUUCAGUCCACUCCCAUCUACCAGUCACUAUACGCCGAUGAAUGCCAAUAUUAUUAUUUCCAGCUUAGACAUUGUUCUUGGAUUGCAGAUGUGAGGUUUGACUUGUUUACUAGACAUUGCUGGCUGAGGAUCCCUAGCAUAACAUGGCCCAAAUUCAAUUUAUUUCCAAAGCUGUCUCAUCUCCUUUGUUCUCUGUAAUGAUGUUGCUAUCCAUUCGAUCAACAUACUCAGAAAUAUCACCCCCUCCUUCCUUCUUCCAAGAUAAGUGAGUUGCUCACGACAUGAUCAUGUUUUGGCAGUGUACUCUGUCCAUUCCCAUCACUUAGUAAGAAUCAUCUAGGUUAUGCUGAAGUAUGAAGUUAAUCUCCAAAUUUCUCUGGCUCAGUACAGAAAAAGUCCAUUUCUCCCUUCUGCAAUGCACCCAAUGCAGGUCUGCAGGGUCUCUGCUGUGCGUUGUCCCUCAGGGACUCAGGCUGAAGAGGCCCCCUUGUCUUAUCUGGCCACCUCCUCUGCACAUGGCUCAGGAUUUUCCAGGCAAGGGGUUGAGCAGAGGCUUUUCAGUGCUGGGCCUGGAUGUGACAUAAGAUGCUUCUGCUCACAGCCUUGUGGUCAGAACAAGUCACAUCAUCCCUCCUACUUGCAGGGGUGCUGGGCAGCGUAGUCAUCCACAGAUCAGGAGAGGGAGCAGAGGCAGGUGUUCCCGGGCUGCAGCGAUCUCCACUGCACUGCUGUGGGCUGAACUGUGCCCUCCACCCCACCAAGCUUAUAUGCUGCCAGCCUCACCCUCCACACCUUAGAAUGUGGCUGUAUCUCGACAUAGGGUCCUUACAGAGGUAGUUAAGUUAAAGCAGGGUCAUUAGGGUGGGCCCUAAGGUACUCUGACUGGUGUUUUUAUGAGAAGAGGAGAUUAGGACUUACAGGGAGAGACACUAGGUAUGUGAGCACACAGAGAAAAGACCAUGUGAAGACGAGAAGAAGGCAACUGUCUCCAAUCCAGACGGAGAUGCCAGGCACAGCCCUUCUGUCACAACCCUCAGAAGGAACCAACCCUGCCGACACCUUGGCCUUGUACUUCUGGCCUCCAGAACCGCAGGAAAGUACAUUUCUGUUGCUUAGGCCGCUCAGCCUGUGGCACUUUGUUACAGCUUCUCACCCAGUUCAGGCCCUUUUAAUUGAUUGCUGGGCCUUUGCAGUUGUUUUUGCUUCUAAUAUAUUCAUCUCUCAAUUUAUUUCUGGAGGCUGCCACCCGAGGGGCAGAACUUCAAUUGUGUCCCUAAUGGGAAACCUUGCUGGGAUCAUGUGGUCUACAGCACAAGGUUGCUAAAGCAUCUUCUGCCAGAAUUCUGUGAGUAUCUGGUUAGGUGGGUCUGGAAUAUACUGAGUUUAAAAAAGUUAAAUAGGUUUCUUUACUGCAAGAUGUUUCAGAGACUUUAAUAUGCUACUCUGCUGUAUGAAUCUCCAGGCAGGAAAUCUUAUAAAAUGUGUUUCUGAAAUGAAUUUGCACAUAA